RNAcentral lists this ribosomal RNA (155 nucleotides) under uncultured bacterium. Its description in RNAcentral is "partial 16S ribosomal RNA". It matches the Rfam family "Bacterial small subunit ribosomal RNA", at positions 337 to 486 of the family's 1533-position model. The record is from RNAcentral.
UCCUACGGGAGGCAGCAGUGGGGAAUAUUGGACAAUGGGCGCAAGCCUGAUCCAGCAAUGCCGCGUGUGUGAAGAAGGCCUGCGGGUUGUAAAGCACUUUAAGCAGGGAGGACGAGAUGCGGGGCUAAUACCCUUGGACAUGACGUACCGCAGAU